AGAAGUUCGAGUAAAGUGUGAAACAAUGAGGUGGAACGCUCAGUAGAUACAGGUCAUGCAGACCAAUGAUGACCGCGGAACGAGGAUAAGACUAACUUUAGAACGUUGAAUUACGCUUGUUCAAAACAUACAGCAGGCGAAAU
Molecule: non-coding RNA, 143 nt
Organism: Caenorhabditis elegans
Lineage: Eukaryota; Metazoa; Nematoda; Chromadorea; Rhabditida; Rhabditidae
Source: Ensembl